Molecule: ribosomal RNA, 492 nt
Filed under: uncultured bacterium
Lineage: Bacteria
Description: partial 16S ribosomal RNA
Rfam family: Bacterial small subunit ribosomal RNA
Source: RNAcentral
AGUGAACGCUGGCGGUAGGCCUAACACAUGCAAGUCGAACGGCAGCACAGUAAGAGCUUGCUCUUACGGGUGGCGAGUGGCGGACGGGUGAGGAAUACAUCGGAAUCUACUUUUUCGUGGGGGAUAACGUAGGGAAACUUACGCUAAUACCGCAUACGACCUACGGGUGAAAGCAGGGGAUCUUCUGACCUUGCGCGAUUGAAUGAGCCGAUGUCGGAUUAGCUAGUUGGCGGGGUAAAGGCCCACCAAGGCGACGAUCCGUAGCUGGUCUGAGAGGAUGAUCAGCCACACUGGAACUGAGACACGGUCCAGGCUCCUACGGGAGGCAGCAGUGGGGAAUAUUGGACAAUGGGCGCAAGCCUGAUCCAGCCAUACCGCGUGGGUGAAGAAGGCCUUCGGGUUGUAAAGCCCUUUUGUUGGGAAAGAAAAGCAGCAGGUUAAUACCCCGCUGUUCUGACGGUACCCAAAGAAUAAGCACCGGCUAACUUCGUG